GGCAUGGGUGGCUCGCGGUCUUGAUCGAAUGGUCUGAAACGUGAUUUGGAUUGAUUAAGGAGUCUUAAUCAUGAUCUAAGUCGUGAUUAAGGUCUAUAAAAGUCCUGUGCAUGAAACAGAGAGGUAAGUUGUUGGUUUUUUCGCCGCCGUACGAACCAGAGGAGAGAGAGAGGCGUGAGGCUGCUGUGAGAGAAGGAGCAGGAGGCUCCUGGACAGCGGUCGCCAGACUCUUCAGGGGUUCAGAGGGUCUAUGGAGCCAACCUAAAAGAAAUCAAUAACCUUCCCUCACUGAAAUCUCUGGAAAUAGAGAAGUGCCCAAAGUUGGAGCAGGUGGAGAAUCUGGAUAAGUUGCAAGUUCUGAGAGUAAUAUUUUCUCGUUCCACAGAGACAUCCACCACCGAUGGUGAUGGCCAUUGGAGCUACUUGGACAGCAUUCUCUUCAAGAAUUUAAACUAAGAUGCAGCUUACUACUCCUUAAGACCUUCCUCAAGGACGGCCCCAACUGGCCCAUCAUUCAGCCGAUCCCCCGGGACGAGAUCAAUAAGCCUUGGCAUCCAGAAUGUAGCAGCUCAUCAUAUAUUCGGUAUACAAAGGAUCCACCCGAAGCCAACGUCGUGGAAUCAGAAGAAUCAGUGGACUGAUAAAGCAAGGGUCCACAAGCAUCCUCCUUUCACUGAGUUACCAAUGCUCCUGUUUCUUUCUCGAAGAUAGAGGAUCACUGGGUGCUCAAGAUUUUUUCAAUCUUUAGCUUGAUGCUUUUUUCCCCCUCCUUUCAUUGGUUCCGUUGUUUGAUUUAAACCUUUCUGUUGGAUUUCAUGUUGUUCUGUAAUUUCUAUUUCUUGGACUUCUGAUCCGUUUGUAAUUUCCUUUUCCUGUUGGUUUGAUGACAUUAUCAUUUGCUGGUGUGCCACUUUUAGAAAUUUGUAUGCAAUAAAUCAGUAGUUUUUCUCCCUCCCUUUGUCUUUGAUGUUUCUUUCUCCUUAAUCUUCGAGGCCAACUUGAAUUCCUUAAGGGGGUGUUUGGUUUGUAACCAAAAUCGGGAUGGGAGUGGGAAUCAGAAUGACUUAGAAUCGGAAUUGGAAUGACCAAAUCUCUCGAAGCAUUUGGUUUGUUACUGGAAUCGAAAUCAGAAUGGAUGAUUUUCA
Elaeis guineensis (African oil palm) is the source of this 1145-nucleotide non-coding RNA. The record is from RefSeq and is a predicted model, not a curated record. NCBI's taxonomy places the organism in Eukaryota, Viridiplantae, Streptophyta, Magnoliopsida, Arecales, Arecaceae.